This 492-nucleotide ribosomal RNA is filed under the name uncultured bacterium. RNAcentral describes it as "partial 16S ribosomal RNA". It matches the Rfam family "Bacterial small subunit ribosomal RNA", at positions 29 to 507 of the family's 1533-position model. The record is from RNAcentral.
AGUGAACGCUGGCGGUAGGCCUAACACAUGCCAGUCGAACGGCAGCACAGUAAGAGCUUGCUCUUACGGGUGGCGAGUGGCGGACGGGUGAGGAAUACAUCGGAAUCUACUUUUUCGUGGGGGAUAACGUAGGGAAACUUACGCUAAUACCGCAUACGACCUACGGGUGAAAGCAGGGGAUCUUCGGACCUUGCGCGAUUGAAUGAGCCGAUGUCGGAUUAGCUAGUUGGCGGGGUAAAGGCCCACCAAGGCGACGAUCCGUAGCUGGUCUGAGAGGAUGAUCAGCCACACUGGAACUGAGACACGGUCCAGACUCCUACGGGAGGCAGCAGUGGGGAAUAUUUGACAAUGGGCGCAAGCCUGAUCCAGCCAUACCGCGUGGGUGAAGAAGGCCUUCGGGUUGUAAAGCCCUUUUGUUGGGAAAGAAAAGCAGCAGGUUAAUACCCCGCUGUUCUGACGGUACCCAAAGAAUAAGCACCGGCUAACUUCGUG